CGGAAGUGGCUCAGUGGUAGAGCAUCGCCUUGCCAAGGCGAGGGUCGCGGGUUCGAAUCCCGUCUCGU
Molecule: transfer RNA, 68 nt
Filed under: chicken gut metagenome
Rfam family: tRNA (bases 5-65)
About the family: Transfer RNA (tRNA) molecules are approximately 80 nucleotides in length.
Source: RNAcentral